Aquila chrysaetos chrysaetos is the source of this 64-nucleotide small nucleolar RNA. Ensembl annotates it as small nucleolar RNA SNORD77. The record is from Ensembl. Lineage: Eukaryota; Metazoa; Chordata; Aves; Accipitriformes; Accipitridae.
AGAAUGUUGCUUUUACAGUUCAAAGAUCUAAACAUGAAGUAUUUUAUCAGUAUUCUGUUUUUCU